GACGAACCGAGCGAACGUUGUUCGGAAUCACUGGGCUUAAAGGGUGCGUUGGCGGGUUGCCAAGUCUGUGGUGAAAUCCUCCGGCUCAACCGGAGAACUGCCGUGGAUACUGGCGACCUCGAGGGGUGUAGGGGCUUGCGGAACUGUGCGUGGAGCGGUGAAAUGCGUUGAUAUGCACAGGAACUCCGGUGGCGAAAGCGGCGAGCUGGACACCUUCUGACGCUGAGGCACGAAAGCCAGGGGAGCGAACGGG
Molecule: ribosomal RNA, 253 nt
Filed under: uncultured bacterium
Lineage: Bacteria
Description: partial 16S ribosomal RNA
Rfam family: Bacterial small subunit ribosomal RNA
Source: RNAcentral